CACCGCGGUUAAACGGGAGACCCAAGUUGAUAGACAACGGCGUAAAGCGUGGUUAAGAUAUUAAUUUAAUAGGGUCAAAUAGUCUCUAAGCAGUCAAAUACUAUCGAAACCACAAAGCACAUCUACGAAAGUAACCCUAACACCUCUGACCCCACGAAAGCCAUAACA
This 168-nucleotide ribosomal RNA is filed under the name Coelorinchus hexafasciatus. RNAcentral's name for it is "partial 12S rRNA". The record is from RNAcentral. Lineage: Eukaryota; Metazoa; Chordata; Actinopteri; Gadiformes; Macrouridae.